CUGGGAGUGGGCUGCAAAAGAAGUAGGUAGUUUAACCUUCGGGGGGACGCUUACCACUUUGUG
Molecule: ribosomal RNA, 63 nt
Filed under: Vibrio furnissii
Lineage: Bacteria; Pseudomonadati; Pseudomonadota; Gammaproteobacteria; Vibrionales; Vibrionaceae
Description: partial 16S ribosomal RNA
Source: RNAcentral